Long non-coding RNA from Spinacia oleracea (spinach), 1572 nucleotides. RefSeq lists it as uncharacterized. The record is from RefSeq and is a predicted model, not a curated record. NCBI's taxonomy places the organism in Eukaryota, Viridiplantae, Streptophyta, Magnoliopsida, Caryophyllales, Amaranthaceae. The transcript is spliced from 3 exons.
AACUAGUUCGAAUUCGUUUUUGAUUGACAUCUUUUAUCUAAUUACCAAAGGAUUGAUUGAAACUUAUGGAAAAAAUUCUUUUUCUAAUCAAUACCCUUGACAUACAAGGUUGUAACCAAUUUGUAUAUUUUUUAAGUUAUGCCUGUCAACCAAACAAUUUGCAGUGAAACAGCCACGUUUUUUUCUAUUUACGUCUGAAUAAGCCUCAAAGGCAUUUCAAAUCCUAUAUCCUAUAUAAUAAUAAAAAAGUCACUGGAGUAUGUGAGGCCUCCAAAACUCAAAUCCAGUAAUUUUAUUGACUCACUCUAAAAACCAGUUCUCACUUUUUUUAAAAUUUUAAAUUAAUAAAAAUCAUACAGCAUUUUCGUUCAAAAUUAGGGAGUUAACUAGGGGGAAAAAAAAAACUACCUCAAUUCAUUAACUGCCACCCAUUUUCAUACUUCAUAAUAAGAUUAAAGAAAAACUUACUCCCUCCUAUUAAUCACACACGGAGUAUGUUUGACUCAAAUUAAAUGUCUUUUUCUCCUAUUAAUACUUUUCUUUGAGGAAAUUUCUCUUCUUAAUACUUAUCCCAUAUAAAAUUAAUACUUAUCCUAUAUAAAAUUAAAAUGUCGAUACUCAUCAUUCUCCAUCACAUACACUUCACAGUUACCGACCAUGGGAGGCUUCAUCGACAAGGUUCCAUGGCGGAGGGGAUCGAUUGGUUUGUUAUUCAAGGUUUUUAUCAUUAUUUUCAGUCUAUUUUAUAUAAGAAGUAAUUUAAUUUUUUCAAUUUAUGGUUUUUUGCUGCGUAUUUAUGUUAAAUUACUAUUAUAUAUUUGUAUACAUGUAUGUAGUUAUUUAGUUUGUUGGAAGAACUAGGCAAGUAGGCAACGCAACCACCAACAUUGGCAUCAUAGUGACAUCAAUCUCUUCCAGAAAGGUGAAAGGGAUUAUAUGGUGUGAUCUCGAUUCAGUAGAAGGAAAUUUAUAUGGGUGGAAGAUUCUUCGAACAUCGAUAGUGCCGGAAAAUGUCGAAUGUUAGUGUGAGACAUUUUAGACCCUAUAAGUCCCUGAAGGAAGUUUCUGAUGAAGGUAUUACAUACUCACCAGUGUGCCUGUAGCAACUCAAACAAAUAAUCAUACGUUCGAAAAGUGUCGGAUUAUCCACAACCUGACAUGGGUGUGAAAUAUUUAAACAUUUUAUAUUGAGCUACAAUCAUGGAACUUUUUACAAAAUAGCAAAGUCGGACAAUCAAACACGUACUUGUGUCCGAUAUGAGUACCCGAGUCCGAGUAACAUGUAUGACUUUGACAUCCAAAGAACCGGAGGGUGGAGAUUUAGCUUUUGACAAUUUGACAGGACAUCUUCAACGAAGUGGGAGUAGAAGGUUGUACAUGUUUGUGGAGCCUAAUUAAGUGCCUUUUAUUGGCAUACAUAUAGAUUACAGAAUGGAUUGCUUUCUAUCUUUGUCCCUUGUAUUUUCAUCUUAUCUUUUUCUUAUACUCUAAAAAGCUUUAGCAUUAAACUAGCCUGAGUAGCGCGCUAACGUUUAUAACAUAACAAUGUAAUACAAUUAAUGUUAAUCCAGA